GAUGAAGAACGUAGCAAAAUGCGAUACUUGGUGUGAAUUGCAGAAUCCCGUGAACCAUCGAGUUUUUGAACGCAAGUUGCGCCCGAAGCCUUUUGGCCGAGGGCACGUCUGCCUGGGCGUCACGCAUCGCGUCGCCCCCCACAAUUCUCCGUAAAAGGAACAUGUGUUUUGGGGGCGGAUAUUGGUCUCCCGUGCUCAUGGCGUGGUUGGCCGAAAUAGGAGUCCUUUCGAUGGACGCACGAACUAGUGGUGGUCGUAAAAACCCUCGUCUUUUGUUUCGUGCUGUUGCUCGCAAGGUAAACUCUUUAAAAACCCCAAUGUGUCGUCUCUUGACGACGCUUCGACCGCGACCCCAGGUCAGGCGGGACUACCCGCUGAGUUUAAGCAUAUCAUAAGCGGAGGA
RNAcentral lists this unclassified non-coding RNA (403 nucleotides) under soil metagenome. RNAcentral describes it as "partial contains 5.8S ribosomal RNA, internal transcribed spacer 2, and large subunit ribosomal RNA". The stretch from base 1 to 122 matches the Rfam family "5.8S ribosomal RNA", at positions 35 to 154 of the family's 154-position model. The record is from RNAcentral.